RNAcentral lists this transfer RNA (88 nucleotides) under Caudoviricetes sp. Its description in RNAcentral is "tRNA-Ser". It matches the Rfam family "tRNA". Rfam says of the family: Transfer RNA (tRNA) molecules are approximately 80 nucleotides in length. The record is from RNAcentral. Lineage: Duplodnaviria; Heunggongvirae; Uroviricota; Caudoviricetes.
UGCCGUGUGUCCGAUUGGUCGAGGGUGCUGUCUUGAAAACAGUCUGGAUGUAAAAGUCUUUGGGGUUCGAAUCCCUAACACGGCGUUA